This 878-nucleotide ribosomal RNA is filed under the name Wolbachia pipientis. RNAcentral describes it as "bacterial SSU rRNA". It matches the Rfam family "Bacterial small subunit ribosomal RNA", at positions 91 to 1006 of the family's 1533-position model. Lineage: Bacteria; Pseudomonadati; Pseudomonadota; Alphaproteobacteria; Rickettsiales; Anaplasmataceae. The record is from RNAcentral.
CUUAGUGGCAGACGGGUGAGUAAUGUAUAGGAAUCUACCUAGUAGUACGGAAUAAUUGUUGGAAACGACAACUAAUACCGUAUACGCCCUACGGGGGAAAAAUUUAUUGCUAUUAGAUGAGCCUAUAUUAGAUUAGCUAGUUGGUGGGGUAAUAGCCUACCAAGGUAAUGAUCUAUAGCUGAUCUGAGAGGAUGAUCAGCCACACUGGAACUGAGAUACGGUCCAGACUCCUACGGGAGGCAGCAGUGGGGAAUAUUGGACAAUGGGCGAAAGCCUGAUCCAGCCAUGCCGCAUGAGUGAAGAAGGCCUUUGGGUUGUAAAGCUCUUUUAGUGAGGAAGAUAAUGACGGUACUCACAGAAGAAGUCCUGGCUAACUCCGUGCCAGCAGCCGCGGUAAUACGGAGAGGGCUAGCGUUAUUCGGAAUUAUUGGGCGUAAAGGGCGCGUAGGCUGGUUAAUAAGUUAAAAGUGAAAUCCCGAGGCUUAACCUUGGAAUUGCUUUUAAAACUAUUAAUCUAGAGAUUGAAAGAGGAUAGGGGAAUUCCUGAUGUAGAGGUAAAAUUCGUAAAUAUUAGGAGGAACACCAGUGGCGAAGGCGUCUAUCUGGUUCAAAUCUGACGCUGAAGCGCGAAGGCGUGGGGAGCAAACAGGAUUAGAUACCCUGGUAGUCCACGCUGUAAACGAUGAAUGUUAAAUAUGGGGAGUUUACUUUCUGUAUUACAGCUAACGCGUUAAACAUUCCGCCUGGGGACUACGGUCGCAAGAUUAAAACUCAAAGGAAUUGACGGGGACCCGCACAAGCGGUGGAGCAUGUGGUUAAAUUCGAUGCAACGCGAAAAACCAAAGUACUUUCUUGACAUGAAAUAUAACCCUUAUUCA